RNAcentral lists this ribosomal RNA (402 nucleotides) under uncultured bacterium. RNAcentral describes it as "bacterial SSU rRNA". It matches the Rfam family "Bacterial small subunit ribosomal RNA", at positions 355 to 774 of the family's 1533-position model. The record is from RNAcentral.
UGGGGAAUAUUGGACAAUGGGGGCAACCCUGAUCCAGCCAUGCCGCGUGAGUGAUGAAGGCCUUCGGGUUGUAAAGCUCUUUUGGCGGGGACGAUGAUGACGGUACCCGCAGAAUAAGCCCCGGCUAACUACGUGCCAGCAGCCGCGGUAAUACGUAGGGGGCAAGCGUUGUCCGGAUUUACUGGGUGUAAAGGGCGCGCAGGCGGGAUAAAAAGUCAGUGGUGAAAUCCUACAGCUUAACUGUAGAACUGCCUUUGAUACUUUUAUUCUUGAGUUCGGGAGAGAGAGACGGAAUUCCAGGUGUAGUGGUGAAAUACGUAGAUAUCUGGAAGAACACCAGUUGCGAAGGCGGUCUCUUGGUCCGACACUGACGCUGAGGCGCGAAAGCGUGGGGAGCAAACA